AGUGAACGCUGGCGGCAGGCCUAAUACAUGCAAGUCGAACGGCAACACAGUGGAGCUUGCUCCAUGGGUGGCGAGUGGCGGACGGGUGAGGAAUACAUGGGAAUCUGCCCAGUCGUGGGGGAUAACGUAUGGAAACGUACGCUAAUACCGCAUGCGCCCUUCGGGGAAAGUCGGGGACCGCAAGGCCUGACGCGAUUGGAUGAGCCCAUGUUCGAUUAGCUAGUUGGCGGGGUAACGGCCCACCAAGGCGACGAUCGAUAGCUGGUCUGAGAGGAUGAUCAGCCACACUGGAACUGAGACACGGUCAGACUCCUACGGGAGGCAGCAGUAGGGAAUAUUGGACAAUAGGGCGCAAGCCUGA
RNAcentral lists this ribosomal RNA (361 nucleotides) under uncultured bacterium. Its description in RNAcentral is "bacterial SSU rRNA". It matches the Rfam family "Bacterial small subunit ribosomal RNA", at positions 29 to 386 of the family's 1533-position model. The record is from RNAcentral.